Non-coding RNA from Pelobates cultripes (western spadefoot toad), 317 nucleotides. The record is from the annotation of a GenBank genome assembly. NCBI's taxonomy places the organism in Eukaryota, Metazoa, Chordata, Amphibia, Anura, Pelobatidae.
GACUGUGACAGAGUGAGGGGAUGACUGGUGACAGAGUGAGGGGAUGACUGGUGACAGAGGGAGGGGACUAGUGGAAAUGACUAGUGACAGAGGGAGGGAGUGACUAGUGACAGAGGGAGGGAGGGGGUGACUGUCACUAGUCACCCCAUCCCUCUCUCUGUCACUAGUCACUCCCUCCCUAACUCUGUCACUGUGUCACCCCCUCACUCACUCUGUCACUAGUCACCCCCUCACUCACUCUGUCACUAAUCACCCCCCUCUGUCCCUAGUCACCCCCUUCCUCACUCUGUCACUAGUCACCCCAUCCCUCUCUCUGU